UACGAGGGGGGCAAGCGUUAUCCGGAUUCACUGGGUUUAAAGGGUGCGUAGGUGGGCAGGUAAGUCAGUGGUGAAAUCUCCGGGCUUAACCCGGAAACUGCCGUUGAUACUAUCUGUCUUGAAUAUAGUGGAGGUGAGCGGAAUAUGUCAUGUAGCGGUGAAAUGCUUAGAUAUGACAUAGAACACCAAUUGCGAAGGCAGCUCGCUACACUAUCAUUGACACUGAGGCACGAAAGCGUGGGGAUCAAACAGG
RNAcentral lists this ribosomal RNA (253 nucleotides) under uncultured bacterium. Its description in RNAcentral is "partial 16S ribosomal RNA". It matches the Rfam family "Bacterial small subunit ribosomal RNA", at positions 524 to 776 of the family's 1533-position model. The record is from RNAcentral.